AUGUACAUUCUUACAACAUAGUGUCAAUGCAUUAGAUCCCAUUAGAACUUUGCAGUUAAGCGCACUCAGGCUAAAAUAGUAUAGGGAUGGAUGACCCCCCAAGAAGUCCUUGUGUUUUACAUG
Picea glauca (white spruce) is the source of this 123-nucleotide non-coding RNA. Lineage: Eukaryota; Viridiplantae; Streptophyta; Pinopsida; Pinales; Pinaceae. The record is from Rfam.